Molecule: ribosomal RNA, 253 nt
Filed under: uncultured bacterium
Lineage: Bacteria
Description: partial 16S ribosomal RNA
Rfam family: Bacterial small subunit ribosomal RNA
Source: RNAcentral
UACGUAGGGUCCGAGCGUUGUCCGGAAUUAUUGGGCGUAAAGAGCUCGUAGGUGGCGUGUCGCGUCUACCGUGAAAGCCCAUGGCUUAACUGUGGGUCUGCGGUGGAUACGGGCAGGCUGGAGGCUGGUAGGGGCAAGCGGAAUUCCUGGUGUAGCGGUGAAAUGCGCAGAUAUCAGGAGGAACACCUAUGGCGAAGGCAGCUCGCUGGGACGUUACUGACGCUGAGACGCGAAAGCGUGGGGAGCAAACAGG